Molecule: Y RNA, 113 nt
Filed under: Aotus nancymaae (Ma's night monkey)
Lineage: Eukaryota; Metazoa; Chordata; Mammalia; Primates; Aotidae
Description: Y RNA (ENSANAG00000006232.1)
Rfam family: Y RNA
About the family: Y RNAs are components of the Ro ribonucleoprotein particle (Ro RNP), in association with Ro60 and La proteins. The Y RNAs and Ro60 and La proteins are well conserved, but the function of the Ro RNP is not known. In humans the RNA component can be one of four small RNAs -- hY1, hY3, hY4 and hY5.
Source: Rfam by way of RNAcentral
GGCUGGUCCGAAGGUAGUGAGUUAUCUCAAUUGAUUGUUCACAGUCAGUUACAGAUCGAACUCCUUGUUCUACUCUUUCCCCUCUUCUCACUACUACACUUGACUAGUCUUAA